GAAGAGUGGCAUACUUUUUUGGCUUCUAUGCUAACUGCUCUCUCCGUUGUUCCUUUACAGGUCUGUGCUGGCUUUUCUCUGCAUCUGUCUGUGUUGCACUGGUGGUGCCAGUUUCCAGUUCUACAGUAUGUUGUCAGCAGGAUCAGAGCUGGACCUGCAGGGCUGCUGAAGGAAGGAAGUGGAAUUGUGGGCAGUUCAGAGAUGGUUGAGGAGAACCUUGCAGUGCUCAGCAAUUCCCGAGCAACCUGCUGUAAAGUAAGUCUGAGUCCUGAAAGAGGAAAAGGUUCAAAUUGAGUUUAGGUGUCUCAGGUUUCCUACC
This 319-nucleotide long non-coding RNA is filed under the name Coturnix japonica (Japanese quail). RNAcentral's name for it is "lncRNA (ENSCJPG00005018665.1)". The record is from RNAcentral. Lineage: Eukaryota; Metazoa; Chordata; Aves; Galliformes; Phasianidae.